RNAcentral lists this long non-coding RNA (922 nucleotides) under Androctonus crassicauda. The record is from RNAcentral. Lineage: Eukaryota; Metazoa; Arthropoda; Arachnida; Scorpiones; Buthidae.
GCUUUUGGUACUUCAAGUUCAGCAUAAGAUUAGUUUAAGUUGUAAACAGAAUUUAGACAGUUAUGUUUAUAACUCAAAGACAGCCUAUAUAUGAAGUGCCUCUUAGUGGCACUCUAUGGUAGCUUUAAAUAUACAAAGUCAAUAAUAAAUUUAUUUCAUAAUCUUCAAAUACAGGUUUUUUUUUUAUAUAUAUUUGAAGCUUCUUGCCACCAUAGUAGUAGCAAGAAGCUCAUAAGGAUCAUAAACAUCUUAAGACAUUGCCCAAAAAAGACUAUAGGCUCUGCUCCACCUGAUGGUUCUACAGAGGUUCUUCUGUGAGAUGGAACUCUGCUUUAAUAUAACCAAGCACAGUGGGACAGAGUCCUCUCCUUCUGGAUCUACUUCAACAAGAGAGGCCAACUGAUCCAGACAACUGCCAGUGGAAGAUCCAUCUGAAACUCGACCUCCUAUGCAUGGUGUUGCUAUAACAGCCAUUUAUAGCUGAGCACCACCAAACAGUUGAAAACCAGACAACCCACAGCAAAAGUGAAACUCAAUAGAUUCACUUUUGUUUCAAGACCACCUCUAGUGAGAGAUCUAUCUCCCCCUAGAGGAGGAACCAUGUUAAGUUGACCCAAACUGCAAUAAGUUGAUGGUUGAGCCAAUCAACUUGUUGCAGUUUUUGCAAAUAUUGAGUUUAAGUUGUAUUUGCACUACAUUGAUGAUGUUUGUAUAGUAUGGAAAUGUAAAGAAUAACAGGAACAUAGCACCAGUCUAGCCAACUUGCUAAAUGACAGAACAUUGGGGCUUAAUGUAAGGAUAGAGCAAAAUAGUGAUAAGAUGUUCCAUUUCCUAGAUGUCCAAGUGGAAGUAGAGCAAGGGAAAUACAUCACCAAUAUCUAUAGAAAUCCAACAUAUAUACCGAUCCUAAUACUAGCCUGAC